This is a non-coding RNA of Urocitellus parryii (Arctic ground squirrel), 1914 nucleotides long. Lineage: Eukaryota; Metazoa; Chordata; Mammalia; Rodentia; Sciuridae. The record is from RefSeq and is a predicted model, not a curated record.
UGCAAUCCUCCUGCCUCAGCCUCCUGAGUCACUGGGAUUACAGGGACAGUGGGCUCAUCCUGGAAGAAGGACGGACCCAGAAGCUUCUCCUGGGACCCCUGGACACUCGUUCCUGCUCUUGGCAGGAGUUUACACCUCCCAAUCACUUGCCUCUUCUGCCUACCGCUCACUUGGCCAAAGUGACGCCGCCUGUGCAGCUUCUAAAUCCACUCUGAGCACCUGGAGAAGGGGUGUGUGCUGUGGCUGCAGCAGCAGCCGCUUCGUGCCGCAGAGGAAUCCUGCACAAGGAGACUCCUGCUCCUGCUCCUGCUCCGGGGCAGGGGUGCCAGGGAAUGCUACCUCUAAUUUCCGAUAGUGCUGACCUUUGUUCUCCAYCGUCACUUUCAUUAAAUAUCUGCUGCCUCACCGGAGGAAAAUUCCCAAUCACCCUCCCCGUCUCKGCCGGCAGACACUUGGGCUGAUUAAGUAAUAAGCUGAUUUCACGAAGAGGAGGCCAUCUCCGCAGCAUCGGGUCAAGGGCUCGCCCCGCUCGCCCUGCUCUGCAGACAGAGGGGCUGUGCGGCAGCCUGGGCCCUGCCCAGGGUAUUCAGACCCGCCCUGCAGCCUGUCCUCCACCCUGACCUCAGUCCCACCCCAAGCCCGGGAGACCCCAUGUGGGUGUCCUGGUGUGUCUCUGCCCCGGCAGGAUCUUUAGCUGAGGGCUAAAGUGGGAUUCUCUGGAGUUUCCACCAUUGCCACCAACAUCACCGUCACAGCCACCCUCCUGACCCUCACUGCCACCACCACCAUGUUGUCCACCUCACCAGGUCCACCGCCACCACUAGGUGGUCCACCUGGUCCACUGCAAGUCCAGGCCSCACCUGACCCCUCCGUCCUGACCAUUGCCAAUCUCCCUGUGUGGGGGGCUGGGCUGAGUCGGGUGCCAACCUGUGCCGAGUGACUCUGGGGACCUGGUGGCAGGGAACCUUCUGGCAAGGCUGGUGUGGGGAACUCUGAGGCAGCUUGGGAGUCUGGUGGCUCCCAGGGGUCCYGGUGGCCAUCAGAGGGCUCAGACACAGCUCUGCCCUUUCAAUCACCUAAUGUCCCCAGCUUGUCCCCAGAGGAGGGCUUGCUGGUACGCUGGAGAGGAGAYGGGCCAGGUGCCUGGGGUGGAGGGGGUGUGGGGGACUGCGGCCCCCUCUCCUGAUGCUGUCCCAGAUCAGGGCUGUGUCAGAUCCCUCCCCGUCACUGGCUCCUCAGGACCCUCUACGGCCACGUGGAGCAGUGGUUCUGAACUUCAGGGACCGUACGUACCCCUCGGGGGACGUUUGUUAAUGUCUAGUGACACUUUGGGUGCAUGCUGCUCGAAUCCAGGGGACAGAAGCCGGGGAUGUGGGUGACAGCACAGAUGCACGGGGAGCCCCACGAGGAGGAGCCGGCCGACUGCAGCCUGCGGGAAGGAGACCCAGCCGGGCUCUUUCUUGUCUUUUCUUUCUUUUUCCCCUUGAACCAGCGGCACCCUGGGUCACCCAGGCUGGCCUUGAACUCCUGGGCUCCAAUGAUCCUCCUGCCUCAGCCUCCCAAGCUGCUGGGAUUCCCGGCAGGCACCACUGUGUGCUUUCCAUCCCCCAGACUCCAGCUCUGCCCCCCUGAAACAACCAGGCCUCCUCCCCUCUCCUAAGCCCUGCAGCCACCAGUCUACUUUCUGUUUCUAUGACUGGGACCACUUUAGGGACUUCAUAAAGGUGGAGCCCUACAUGACUUGUCCUUUUGUGACUGGCUUACUACACUCAGCCAAUGUCCUGAGACCCAUCCACAUCAGAGCAUGUGGCAGGAUCUCCUUCCUCUUUAGGGCUAGGUAAUAUUCCAUUCCAAAUACAGACUCGGUCUCAGGGGGUACUAGGGAUUGAACCAGGGGCUUCACCACUGAGCCAC